GGGGGGGUUGUAGGCUACUCCAAACCUACACAUGGAAGUCAAGGCUCCUCAGCACAGCUGGUUUUAGGAGAUAAUGCUCCAGGUCUGUGAACUGUUUUAAAACUAUCCCUGUGGAUGCAUGAUCAUCUGAUCCACCAAAUCAGCUGAUGAAGCAGACUGACAACUGGCCGAGUCAACCAAGGUAACUCCACAAAGAAACAUGCAUGAUGUUUCGCUGAAGAAAAAACAACAUUUAAUGUGGUAAUGGCCAAUAAUGAAAUUGUAGACUGUUCAUAUCCAGUAACCCAGGCUUAUCUCCCAUUGAUUAGAACAUUUUCAAUGUGCAUUGUUUAAAUCUAAGAGAUAACCUACAACUGAUUACAUACGUCUCACUGUACAUCUUCACCACUGAUGAUCUCUUUAUGAUUUUAACAAGCUCAUGACAUCAUUCUACGACAGGUAAGGGAAGUAUUACCAACAGAACUAUUAGCUGUUGUGCUAAUUCUGGCAUAUUUACAUUGAUGCUUUAUGCUGACAUGUUGAUGAAUGUGCAUUGUCGUAAUUCAAAUAAAUAAAUAAAAUAAAAUAAAGCAUUAACAUUUAAAAAGAAUUAACUAUUAACUGACUAAUUUACUAUAGGCUGUCCACAUUCAAGAACACUGAUACUAGCCUGAAAGAGACAUAAAUUAUUAUUUUUUUCUCCCAUCUGCAGGACGAGGGUCCUAUCUCUUCAAAUUGAAGCCAGCAGUGGGAAAGGUGCUGUUUUUAAAAGAAUUGGGAGGUCAAUGACAUUACUUUCUAAUUAUUUUAAA
Long non-coding RNA from Fundulus heteroclitus (mummichog), 791 nucleotides. RefSeq lists it as uncharacterized. The transcript is spliced from 2 exons. The record is from RefSeq and is a predicted model, not a curated record. NCBI's taxonomy places the organism in Eukaryota, Metazoa, Chordata, Actinopteri, Cyprinodontiformes, Fundulidae.